This 1037-nucleotide long non-coding RNA is filed under the name Urocitellus parryii (Arctic ground squirrel). Its description in RNAcentral is "lncRNA (ENSUPAG00010011876.1)". Lineage: Eukaryota; Metazoa; Chordata; Mammalia; Rodentia; Sciuridae. The record is from RNAcentral.
CUGCUCCCUCCCCCGCUGAGCCCGGCUGGUCGCUGCGCUCUCGGUUCCCGCGGGCUUUCCUGGCGACGGCCUCCCCCCUUCUGUCCUGGGGUCUUGCUCCUCUCCCUCUUCUUUUCUYCACGUCUCUCCUCUCCCUCUUCGUUUCUUUACGCCUCUCCCCCUCCUGCUUUCCGCCUGUUCCGGGAGCCGAGCCCGGUCGCCUGGCUGCGCCGUGCAGCCGAGCGAGGCCCCCAGGUCCCUGUGGAACUGCGCUCCCCCUGCCUCCAACUCCCUCCAUCAUCCGACGUGUUCUUUUCUUCACUGCUCAUUUCUUUCUUCCCUGAAAUAGGAGGCAGCUAGUCCCUUCUCCAUUCUCCUUGUUUUCAGUCUGUACUGUUUCUCCCUUUCGCCACCCCACCCCACUCCUUGGUUUCCCCCUUGUCCCCGCCCUCCCACCUUCUCCCUAAAMUCAGCCCGAUGGAACAGUGAGAGGGCGAAGAUAAAAAUGGCAAAUGUCAGUGUCAACACUGUUAUUGUUUUUGGUUGCUGAAACGGAAGAUGAACUGGAAUGCCCAAAUCAACUCAGACCCAGGACCAAGAUUGAGUUCUUAAAAUUGCAAUGGAAGAUCUUAAAUGUGAUCCCAGGUAAGACUCCAGAUGGCAGCUYAUUAAAACAUCCAGAAGGCGGAACAGGCACGUAUACCUUUCCAUCUACCACGGGCGAUUUCACAAACCUCCCAGCUCUGACCUACUAGGCCCAGCCUUCUGGGACCCUUGUUGCCUUUCCAGUCUCACUCAUUACAUUCCAAGCACACUGAAGACCUUUCUGCCCAAACAUUUUGUGCCACAGGGCCUUUGUAUUUGUUAUUUCUUUGCCCUUCGGACCACCCAUGUGACUCAGCUCAUGUGUCAACUCAGGGAGGCAUUUCUUUCUUUUGCUUCUGUACUGGGUAUUGAGCCCAGGGGUGCUCUACCACUGAAUUACAUCCCUGCCCCCUUUUAAACUUUUAUUUUGUGGCAGGGUCUCAUUAUGUUGCUCAGGCUGGCUUCAAACUUCC